GCCGUAGUUCAGUGCAAGAACAUCUGCUUUGCACGCAUAAAGUCCCCAGUUCAAUCCCAGGCAUCUCCA
Podarcis lilfordi (Lilford's wall lizard) is the source of this 69-nucleotide non-coding RNA. Lineage: Eukaryota; Metazoa; Chordata; Lepidosauria; Squamata; Lacertidae. The record is from the annotation of a GenBank genome assembly.